CUUAUAUAAUUUUUUUAAUUUCUAACAAAAAAUAUACAAAUAAAGGUAGACUGGGGAUUCAAAAAUAUAUUUAGUGUUAAAAUUUUACUGCAGAAUAAAUUCUUCUUCUGCCUUGUGCAAGAGGGAAACAGAAGAAAUAAAAAAGAAAUGGAAAGAUGCAAGAUCCAUUGUAAAGAAGAAAGAAGCCAGUAGAAAAUACCAGACGAAGAGAACAGGCGGAGGGCCUCCCCCGGAAUCUGUAUUCAAGGCAUGGGAACUUGACAUUUUGUCAAUUAUACCGGAUGAACUUAUCUCUGGGAUUGACGGAGGGGUUGAUACUGCCUUUGCCAGUAAUUCUGAAACAAAUAACUUAGCCUCAUCAUGCACUGCAGUCCCAUCGGAAAUUUCCGCUGGAAUUUCAUCCUUGAUUGUAGAAGAAGUUGACGUUCCGGAAGAAGCUCCAAGUGUACAUGUGUCCGGGCCUUCCACCGACAAAUUCUUUACUUCAACUCUGUAUGGAUCUAAACGUAAAGACACGGCCAGCGACCCCGACGCUGAGUUUAUGCUGAAUUUGAUAGGAGUGAAGGAGAGAAGAGCCAUCGCAGAGGAG
Long non-coding RNA from Saccostrea cuccullata (small rock oyster), 589 nucleotides. RefSeq lists it as uncharacterized. The transcript has 5 exons. The record is from RefSeq and is a predicted model, not a curated record. Lineage: Eukaryota; Metazoa; Mollusca; Bivalvia; Ostreida; Ostreidae.